GCCCAGCCGUAAACAAUUAACUUACAACAACCAACGCCAGGGAAUUACAAGCAAUGCUCAAAACCCAAAGGAUUUGACGGUGUCCCACCCACCUAGAGGAGCCUGUUCUAUAAUCGAUGAUCCCCGCUUUACCUAACCACCCCUCGCCCCCAGUCUGUAUACCUCCGUCGGAAGCUUACCAUGUGAACGUUUAUAGUAAGCUCAAUGAUCCUCAUCUACACGUCAGGUCAAGGUGCAGCUCACGGGAUGGCAAGCAAUGGGCUACAAUUUCUAAUUUAGAACAAACGGAAGACUAUGUGAAAUCAAAGUCACAAAGGCGGAUUUAGAAGUAAAAAGAAAAUAGAGUGUUCUUUUUAACCCGGCUCUGGGACGCGUACACACCGCC
RNAcentral lists this ribosomal RNA (385 nucleotides) under Glandirana minima. Its description in RNAcentral is "partial 12S ribosomal RNA". It matches the Rfam family "Bacterial small subunit ribosomal RNA", at positions 794 to 1394 of the family's 1533-position model. The record is from RNAcentral. Lineage: Eukaryota; Metazoa; Chordata; Amphibia; Anura; Ranidae.